Molecule: ribosomal RNA, 253 nt
Filed under: uncultured bacterium
Lineage: Bacteria
Description: partial 16S ribosomal RNA
Rfam family: Bacterial small subunit ribosomal RNA
Source: RNAcentral
GACAGAGGUCCCGAGCGUUAGGCGGAAUCACUGGGCUUAAAGCGUGUGUAGGCGGAUCGUUAAGUACCUUGUGAAAUCCCACGGCUUAACCGUGGAACUGCUUGGUAUACUGGCGAUCUUGAGCCACUUAGGGGCUACCGGAACAAAUGGUGGAGCGGUGAAAUGCGUAGAUAUCAGGAGGAACACCGGUGGCGAAGGCGGCUACCUGGACAGAGUCUGACGCUGAGGCACGAAAGCUAGGGGAGCAAACAGG